RNAcentral lists this ribosomal RNA (252 nucleotides) under uncultured bacterium. Its description in RNAcentral is "partial 16S ribosomal RNA". It matches the Rfam family "Bacterial small subunit ribosomal RNA", at positions 524 to 776 of the family's 1533-position model. The record is from RNAcentral.
UACGGGGGGGCAAGCGUUGUUCGGAAUUACUGGGCGUAAAGGGCUCGUAGGCGGCCAACUAAGUCGGACGUGAAAUCCCCAGGCUCAACCUGGGAACUGCGUCUGAUACUGGAUGGCUUGAAUCCGGGAGAGGGAUGCAGAAUUCCAGGUGUAGCGGUGAAAUGCGUAGAUAUCUGGAGGAAUACCGGUGGCGAAGGCGGCAUCCUGGACCGGCAUUGACGCUGAGGAGCGAAAGCCAGGGGAGCAAACGGG